AAGGAAAGGGAAAGGGAUGGAGAGAGAGAAAGAGAGGGGGAGGGAGGGAGACAGAGAGAGAGGGAGACAGAGAGAGAGGAGAAGAGGGAGAGAGUAGAGACAGAGAGAGAAAGAGAGAGAGAGAGAGAGAGAGAGAGAGAGAGAGAGAGAGAGAGAGAGAGAGAGAGAGAGAGAGAGAGAGAGAGAGAGAAAGCCCUGCUUUAUUGAACUGAGAGCUUCUGAAUUCCAAGCAGAAAGUAUGAGAAGACACACAGCAAUACGUGUCUUCCCCUUGGCAGCUUGUGUAGAGCUUAGACAAUGAAAAACUAGAUUCCCUAUCUACCCCCACCACCACCACCUCCCGCGACAAGAUUUUUGUUUUCGUUCCUUCUGAACCGUGGAGGAUGUGCAAAACAAAUCAUUUUAAAACAAACAAAAACCAAACUGGGAUGAGGAUUACCCAUAUUAACACUGGCUGAGCGUGCUUAAAGAGAUCUAAGAUGCUCGAAGCAGGAGUGGUUGUAAACCCUAUUCGGUCCCCAGUCCCAUACUCCAUAAAUGUUGCUGCUGCCGUUACCACCGCUGCUGUCACUACUACUACUAUGUCUACUACCACUACAGGAUGGGGAAAGUCUCUGAACACCGAAAAUCUUGGAGACAGUCAUUUCCUCUGAGCCUGAAGGGACCCGCAGUGGACCAAGUGAAAAUAGCCGAACAUCCUCCUCCAUCAGCCUGAAGCGCAACUCCAGCUCCGCCUGUAGAGGUCAACUCACUCACACACCCCCUCCCUCCAUCCUAGAGCUCUUUCCUCCUGACUGUUGCCGCAGUCAGAGCAGGUGCGCACCCUGCAAGGCCGCCCUUCUUUGCACCAGCCUUAGACCCCUGAAGUGACGCCAGGACCUGAGGUCUAUUUAUGUGGGGAGUAGAUAAUCUUUACUAUCCUAAGCAUCUCUUUCUCCUCAACAUAACGGUAGCCAGCCCAGAUGGGCUAUCCAUAUUCUUUGGGGGAUAGGCAGGUGCGAUUAAGUUAAUUUUUUCGCAUUACAAAGAAAGGUGGCUCACCUCGGCCGUUUAUUCUCACUUCUCUUGAAAGUCUUCAACCAAAAAAGUCUAACUAACCCAGGAAAGGUGGCUGCAUGCAUUAUAUAUGUCCCUCCCACCCCAAUUUCUUUCUCUUCCUUCCUAGAUGUAAUAUCUAUUCCUUGGGAACAGCAAACAAGAUUGUUAGAAGCAUUUUGCAAGAGGUAUAGCAGUCAACAAAAGAUCGUCAUUCUUCAAUAGUAAUUUAGAAUUGAUUUAGUGUGAAAAGAUCAUUUAAUUACUAAUUCGUAGGAUAAUAUUUAGAAAUUAGAGUAGCUACGGAGGGUUAAUUGAGGCCCAUUGCAGUAGUCACCCGAAGUAAGCAGACAAGACUAUAUUCCUAUAUAUGUGUAUUAUUUGCUUAGAGAGAUACAUCGUAGACAAAUACGUAUACAUAUAUACAGUCUACAUUUUCCCUCAACAGACUAAUUAACAGUGAAACUAACAGAUGUGGUAACUAACAGAGGCGAGCUCUGACAAGAGCAGCGUUGGUGACUUACACUCUCUCGGGAACUGUGGGGAAUCCAGAACAAGGGUAUCCACUACUUUGAGGGGAGGGAAAGAUGAGAAGGAGAGGCAAACGAGUGUGUCAUUUCCUUUCCGGACAAAGAUCAGAGACUCUGUCUCUCCGUGUUCACAGCGGACCUUGAUUUAAUGUCAUACAAUUAAGGCACGCGGUGAAUGCCAAGAGCGGAGCCUGAAAGACUGCAUUUUGAAGGACACCAGCACAUCUUAUAGGCAGAGAGGAAAAAUUCAACCCGAACGAUGGACCCGCUCGCUUGGUGGGGGAAGAUCCACAAUCAAAACUUGAAACCCAGGUAGAGAUCAUGAGAUUUUUGACAUCUGUAUACCCGCAAAUCUUUCUUCGAGCUGUUAGAAAGAAGAACUUUCCGUGACAGCUGAUAGAAAAGCAAUAGAUGCAGGAUAUGAGAAUGUCCAGUCAGCUAUUAGCUAUUAGGAAAGAAUAUGGUCCCCACCCCACCCCGCCCCCGCUCCCCAAUAGCAUAGGAGUUGUGGUCGCUCCAGGAUCCAAGAUUGGGUAAGUAAGGCAAACAAAUAAAUAAAUUAACUGAUAAGAACCUGAAUAGUAGUCGCAAUCAAUGGAAGACUAAGUACUUAAUAACAUUCCUGGACUCCUUUAAAACGAAUUGAUCAAUGCUAGAGGCUCAGUGUAGGAUGAAACUUUCCCUGGUUCGAUUUCUUUGUAGAAUCGGCCUUACCUAACUUAAAAUCAAGAGGACCCUUCCUCCUUUUUUCCAGUCAAACGCAAAACCACCAGACCUCCAAAUUAAAUGGAAUGGGACAAACGAUUGGAAAAAAUGUAGGCCAGAAAGCUUAGAAGGACUCCGAAAAUUAAUUUAUUUGGAAGACAGGAGGAUUGUGAGAAGAUAGUAGUUCCGCACCAGGGCACUGGAGCCAAAGGAAAAUCCAGGGCUGAGAAUGGUAGACUUGAUAGAUGUCUUUGUUCAGUCUGGGCCUGUAGCGAACAAAGGAAAGGAGCAGAGAUGAUCUGCAAAGGUGACAGCAGUCUCCCCCUCCCCCAACACCCCCCUGAGCUGUCCGUGGUCCUGACCACAGUCCUUUUCUCUUUGGCUUGCAAUUAAAAGAACAAUCAGGCAGACCCUUUCUCUGGAGCAGGAGUUUGCCCCAGGACAUAACAAUAAAUUAGAUUAUUCAGGAAAUAAAGAUAAAAAAGAAGUCUGUAGUCCCACCUCGCCCCCCAGAUGCUAGCAUCGUAUUAAGGUGGCCAGACUAUACUUAACUGCCAUGAAACCCAUUAUUUAUAAAUACUUCCAUGAAAACAAUUUGUUGUCUUGGCAGUUUCUCAGUGUUAUCAGAAGAUAAUUUUAUCCUCCUCAAAUCCGUAUAUAUACAUAUCUGUGUAUACAUAUAUUUUAACCUAUAAAUAUUGAUUUUAAGAGGACAUAUGUAUAUAUGUAUGCGUAUAUUUAUAGAUAUGUUCAUAGACACAUGUGUGUAUUGUAUGUACACUGUGGUGCAGAACUACUACCUUCAGUCCAAUUCAGUACUUUACUGUGUCAGAAGAUUCCUGCCCCUCAUUAGGAAUUGAGAGAGGGGAAAAGAAGAAUAUGUAUAUUCGCAUAAAUGUAUAUAAAGAAUCUUUUAUAUAUACAUA
Long non-coding RNA from Monodelphis domestica (gray short-tailed opossum), 3196 nucleotides. RefSeq lists it as uncharacterized. The record is from RefSeq and is a predicted model, not a curated record. Lineage: Eukaryota; Metazoa; Chordata; Mammalia; Didelphimorphia; Didelphidae.